CAGAGUAUAUCUUAUGGAGUAUUAACAUUCUGCAAAGGAAUAUGCUUAAAAAGGGUGAGUCCAACUGUAAAAUGCACACUUUUUUAAUAUCUAAAUAAAAAUCAAGAAAAAUAAAUAGAUUUUUACAUAAAAGUAUGAAAAUUUUUGUUGAAUUGGGUUGAAAAGAUUAAUUAUUUUUAUUUGGAUUGUCAGAGCAUAAAUGUUUGAAUAAUAUGCAUGUGGUCC
RNAcentral lists this long non-coding RNA (225 nucleotides) under Coffea arabica (coffee). RNAcentral describes it as "long non-coding RNA (CARA_LNC000508)". The record is from RNAcentral. Lineage: Eukaryota; Viridiplantae; Streptophyta; Magnoliopsida; Gentianales; Rubiaceae.